This 38484-nucleotide long non-coding RNA is filed under the name Fragaria vesca (wild strawberry). RNAcentral describes it as "long non-coding RNA (FVES_LNC001860)". The record is from RNAcentral. Lineage: Eukaryota; Viridiplantae; Streptophyta; Magnoliopsida; Rosales; Rosaceae.
AGAGAGAGAGAGAAGUGUGGGUUUGGGUAGUGAGAGAGUUGAAAAGGAAGCAAUAGCGGAUCUGAAGAGGGAAACAGGAAGAGGAAGAGGAAGUGGAGAAUCUGGGUGUAUGUGGCGGUAGAGAAAAUUUGGAUGGUGAAGAAGAGGUCUUUGCUUAAUAUACCCGAAUUUUCUUCGGCUGCUGUUUUGGCUUUUUGUCUGUUCCUCUUCUUUUCUUUUCUUCUCUCUUACCUUACCGGUAUUGCCGUUUUCCCUCUUUCAUUUGGACUCUUUUUCUUUUUUGCUGCUUCUUUUUUCUAUAUUUCUGCCAAAUAUGAGUUUUUAUUUUACAAAUUUAGCCUCUUUGGGAUUUUGACAUGUUUAAAGGAGAAGAUUUGGAUUAUGAAAUUUCAGUAAUAUCAGGUGUUUUUGAAGAUUAGAAGUUGAGUUUACGGCGGAGGAAAGGAUUGAAGUUAUUUCUUAUUACUUUUAUAGUUCUGUUAUUUAUACAAAUGUAUCGUAUAAAUGUAAUUAGAAAACAUAUAUAAUUGUACAAUGCAAUAUUGCUUACUUUGUGAGAGUUUUACAAGGAACAUAUCGUUGUACAUUGAAAGAGGAAUUUUUCCUAAACAAGGUCAACAUUUUGGUUGAAGCAGAGAAAGGUCAAUUUUGGAAUGUUAGUACAUGAGUUUCGUUAUUUCUCUUUGUAUCUUGUUCUACAUGAACUUUAAAAAUAUAAUUUUAAAUAUACACUUUUAAUCUUUUAAUACACACCUCUUGCUUAAUACACUACCCAUUUAGUUUUUCAUUUAAAUAUUAUACUAAAUACACAUCCCAAACUACCUAAAAUACCCUCAAUAUCUAAAACUUUUAUUUUCUGUUAGAUUUUUUUUUAUCGGGUUAGAAAUUUUUUCUUGAUAUUUUUCAAUUUAUAAUCAAAAGAGUAAUAUUAUAUUCAAACUUCAAAUCUCCAAUAUGACAUUAAUCGGCUAGAAUUUGAAGAAAAAAAAAAUAUUGAACAUACAUAAUUUUUUCAAAGUUAAGAAACUAGUAGAAAUACAAUAACAUAAAAACUAGUUUUUAGUCUACAAGAUAAAAACUAUAGUUGAUUAAAAAAAAACUAAAUGAAUCGGUAAAUUGUACAUGUGAUUACGACAGUAGUCGAAAUUCAGGUGAUGAAUUUUGGAGAAGAGGUUUUUAUUUCUUUUUUCUUUUGAUGUGUAGUAAUAGUGGAGAAUUUUCACUUUUCACUUUUCUUAUUUUUUCUUUUUCUUUUCCCUAAUAAUUUAUGGAUAUUUUUGUAAUUAAACAUACCUAUAAAAUCAGAUGUGAAAUAUAAAAUAAGAAGGGUGUGUGUAUNNNNNNNNNNNNNNNNNNNNAGAAGGGUGUGUGUAUUAAGAGAUUUAGAUGUGUGUAUUUAAAAUUUCUCAAAUUAAUAAUCAAUGUAGUGGUAAGAUAAUUUCCUAUGGCUGUCAUAUUUUGUUAAAAAUUAAAAUCCCUUAAAAUUUCUUAUCUCCACUAAAAAUAAUUAGCACGGUGAGGAUCAUACGUAUGUCAAUCAUUUGGUCAGUGAGUCGUGUCUUGGUUGGUUAUUUAGGGUCAUGGAUUCAAAACUCAUUGACAUUUAUAGGGUUUGUGACUUAUUAAUAAUUUUUAUUUUAUUUUUAAAAAAUAAGAAUAAUAAUCAUUUGGUCAUAUGUUUGUUUCUUAAUUUAUUUUGGCUAUUAAUCAAAUCUAUUAUUGCUAGGGUCAACUAACGUAUCAAUCAGAUGAUCUACGAUAGUAAUUGGUUACUGUCGACCAUGGCCUAUAUUACUAUAUAUAGUAAACUAACGAUUCCAAGUGGUUUCAAACUUUCGGUUUCCAAUUCUCUGCCCACUAUUAAUCGGAGUGGAUUUGAAUUGGCGAAACACUAACCACGGAAUUGAGACCGGACUUCAGACCAAAACAUGAUUCUGUACGUUAACGAAGAAGGGCUUGCACUCAAAUUAAGCUUUUUAAUCAGGACAGAUAAUAUGAGAAAAAUAGAAAUUGCUUCAUGGCACUUUGUGCAGAACCAAUAUGUGUAGGUGUUCUGUGUAUUGAUGUAUCACAUAUUCUUCCCGUGAAUAUAUAUGGAUUGUGUUGGCUUUGUUCCCUCGCAUUUUUUUUCUGAAAAUGUGGACCACAUGAUGAACACAAGCAUAUCCUUGGUACACGAAGCAUUGCAAGGCAAUUUGCAGCACCUGGAUAAAAUUUCAUAGUCACUCUAUCGCAUAUUGACGCCAAAUCCUAACAGUGAUGCUUUCGACUCGUUAGUAGAAGCCAAAAAUACUGUUUUCUCUCCUAUGUCUCUGUCAAAACUGUCAAAAAUAUUAUGGUUCUCAACUUCUUAUCAUUUCCUGAAACAACGAACUUGAAAAUGCAUCUGUGACUAGCUAUACAUAGUUACAUACAUAAGGUCUCUCUAAAAGAAGGAUGCUUGUCGUGUUCGAUUUUUCUUGCUAAAAGUUAAAGAGUGUACUCUAGUCAUAGUCACCGGUAUUCAUUCUGUGAUAUGAAUCCAUGUAUGCACCACAAGCUACAUAAUCGAAUAGUUGGAAGUGAAGAGAGUUUUGAUAUAUGCUCCCAGUUACGUGCUUCCAAAUUUGGUAGGAUUCUACUGUGCCGUGACAGCAUUUUUAAAGAAAGCACAACAUACAAACAAAAGCUCCAAGAACCCUAACUCAUAAACAACCUUAUUUCUGUCAACCGUUUUGCGGGUCGAGCCAGAUUGGCUGAACACUGAUCCGGUAUGUGAUUCUUGAGGUCUCAAUUUGAAUGGCAGAUUUGAGAUACGAUUUGAACGAUUCGCCCAACAUUGAUUUGUCUAUGACUUGUGUUAAAAACAGGUUUUCACUGUGGAAUUAGGUUCCAGUCCAAAUUGCCUGCAUGUAUAAUUGCAGAACAUGCCUUUGCUAUGGACAGAAUCUGAGGAUCGGACUAACACUGUUUCUUGCUCAGGUAUUAAGUUCGAACUGAGCUAAGUCAGAAAUUAGAUUUUCCUCAGUUGGAUGAAACCGACGAGAAGAUUUGCAGCUACACGGUUCAACUGAUAAGAGAUAUCUUAGACUACAAGAGGCAUCAAUUUGCAGCACUAGGAUGGACUUUUUAAAACCGAACCAAACAUAUCGUGAAGACAUGUUUUGAACUUUGAAGAUACUGUGAUCAGAAGCGAAAUCCGAACUACAAUACCGACGUUCUCAACUCGUAACUCUGAGACAACAAUGAGCAUCGUCUCUCCCCUGAGAUUGUUUUAUUGUCACAAACCCAUUACACAGAUUGGGUGACUGAAGAGUGAAGAGUGAAGAGUGAAGACCCUCCUCUUGUUCAGGAAAAAAAAAAACACAAGACCCUCCUUAGUUCCAGGUAGUUUAGUUCAUUCAUAACCUUGUUCUUUUAUAUGAAACAAGAUGCUAGAUGAGGGUUUUUCUUUUUCUUUUUUCCCCCUUUGAUAUGCUGUUAAUUAUUUUUUUGUGCAUAUACUAGUAAAUAAAACCUGUCUAACAGUGCUUUAGAUACCACCAGCGCAUUGUUGCGGGCUAGGAUUUAUUGAUAAUGAACAAUAUUCAAUCCUCAUCUCACGUCUCCCAUGCCACCACCUUUUCUAAAUCUACCGCCGAUUCCCCCGCCUUCCCCUAUUUUUCCACAAACACAUCCAUCUUCCUCAAAUCCACCACCAACAUCAUGGCCUCCAUACCUGCAAAAUCUACUGCUCACCUCCAAAUCUACCACCUCAUAUUCCGCCACCUGCACAAAAUUCAUCAUCAACCCCAUAGCCUCUACCGUCCUUUUUUAAUUCCACCACCAUACCAUGGCCUUCCCCUCGCCAAAACCCACCAUGGACACUUCUGACCUCAUGCCCACAACCAAGUAAAAAAUAGAAAAUAAAGAAGUAACAAAAUUUUCAAGGACACAAACAUCUAGACAAUCUUUUUGAACAAUUGCACAUUUGUAAAUAAAUUUGCAUCAUUAAGGGGUAACAAUCUUUUUAGUCGGUAUAAUGGCAAGUUUGUAAAUAAAUUACAUUAAAAGGUAAAAACGACCAUUGUCCAACUAGAGGCACAAACACAAUUCACUGGAACUUGAGGGCAAAAACACAAUCCACAAUAGAUAUGAACAGUGCUUUUCCCCUUAUUGUUUUAUUUUAUAUGAAAUGUGACUUGACUUUCAUAUGGUCAUUCAGCUGAAUAGCUAAAAUAUAGCUAGUCCGUUGGAGAUGCUCAGUCAUUUGGGACAACUAGUCCCGAUAAUUUCUAAGUCGGUUAAAUGCAAGUUCUAAAUACCUAAAAGAAGUAGGAAGUAUCCCUGAACAGUAUCUAUGCACAAACUUACAAGAUGAGAAAUAGGCCAUCUUGCUUUAAGAAAGCAAUCCGAGUCUGAACCUUUGCAGCAGCCGUACUUCUCCCCAUACUAGCGUUUCAAUUACCCGACCAAUAUAACCUGCUUGCCAUAUCAACCUAUCAUCCAACUCGCUAACAGAGUAACGUACAGAUAAAUCGACCAAUUUUGGCAGCCAUAAUUGAAAACUAUGGAUGAGAACAACAAGGAGAAGAAGGGUUUCAUCACCGAAGAAGAUGUCGCCACUCUCUUACAGAGGUACACGGCAACAACGAUACUGGCACUGCUCCAGGAAGUAGCACACCUAUCGCAGUCAGAGAGGAUCGGUUGGGAUUGGUUGGUGGCCAAGACUACUACAGGGAUCACAAAUGCCAGAGAGUAUCAGAUGCUUUGGCGGCAUUUGGCUUAUAGGGAACUUUUACCUGACAAAAUGACAUAGAUCGACCUGAGGAUGUAGACAGUGACUACGAGUAUAAUGUGGAAGUCGCUCCUCCUGUUACUGUCCAAACUUCAACAGAGGCCGCAGCAUGUGGGAAAGUCCUUAUAGCUUCUAGUUUACCAUGCGACCCAAGUCAUCUGAAUGGUACAAGUACAACAGUGGAGACUCCAAUUACAGUAAAUGUACCUAAUAGCCAGUCAACUAUAACAUAUGAAUCAUCUGCCUCAGCAAAAGGCAUGAACAUUACAGUCCCGGUUUCUAUUAUGAAAUAAACCAUUCGUGCAAGAACAACUGCUGCAGCAAAAGCCGGAGGAGAUCAUGCAAAUAAACAGGCUAUGACUCCUCAGAGGAAAAGGCAGAAGGCGGUCUAAGGAGAAGGAUUUGGAACUGAUCACUGAUGUGAACAAUGCUUCAAAGAGGGCAGAACUGCUUAUCAGAUCCUCAGGUCUUUUCCUGUCAGCCCAACUGGUUCGUUGUUGUUCAUUUGUUAUCUUCUAUGUUUCUGAGUUCCUACUUCCAAUAUAGAUGUAUCUGGACUCGUAUAUGGAAGACGGGUACAUGAUUAUGUAGGACAAUCUAAGGCUUAGGAUUUCUGUAGGUUCAGAGGGCAGAUGUUGCUGUCUUCACUUGGUUACCACUUCACACUAAAUGUUCAUGUUGAAUCUGUUUAUUCUUGUCUAGAGAUCACAUCUUCAACGAACCAAAACACUUUAAUUUUAUCUUCAUCUCAUUCACUAGAACUUUGUUUAUGUUGGGUUCUGUUUUAUGUUCAGUUUGAGCAUCCAGCUCGCAAGAGUAAUUGAGAACUUCAUCAUACUUUAUGACUACUAACUCAAUACUGAUGCUUUCAAACAUAGCUCUGUGACAAUGAACUGUCUAUGAUUCUUUUGUUAGAACCAAUAGUGACAAACGUAUCACAUAUGCCCCCUAACCUAUACCAAAAUCUUCUUUCUCUGUUUCAUCUAGGCUACCAUACAGUUGUUCUAGAGGGAUUCUUUAUCUUGGAUCAAGCUCACAGUGUGAAUGCCUUUCCCAGCGAAUCGGAAUAUGAACAAAAAUAAGGUAAGAGGCCAAGCCAAACUCAACAUGGUCCUCCUUGCAUAUGCCCAUGACCAGAGCUUGUGUAAUUGGUAAAAGAUCGAGACAAAGCAGCAAAGCUCCAGAAAGUUGAGACUAUGAGAAACAGAUACAUUCAUAUCUACACUCGCAAUGUUUUCCGACUCUUUGGCACCCAGAGACAGAACGAAAACAGCAAUGUGAUAUGCAUGGGGCAAUAGACACAAUACAAACUGCAAUAAAUGCUUUACUUUCAAAAUUGGCCCCUUCCAACUUUGAUCAUAUCAGUUCACCAAUCACUUGUCGACAACUCGAUGAACAAAAAUGUGAUUGACGGACAUACCUUCAUAGUCAUGGUAGAACAAGAUUUAGGGACCAACAUUGUAAAAGAACUUCGUCAAUCCUUUUUUGGUACGUAUUUGAGAAACCUGAAUAAAGAACAGAAAAUCACAAGUCUUUACGAUGACCAAACAAACUCUCAAUGAACUUGUUUCAAAACAGUGUUUGGCAGACAGGUUCUUACUGUAACACUGAUCAUCUCUGAAAUAUCAGACACAUGAGUACCACCACACGGGCAGGCAGGAUUGUUGCCCAACUUCACAAUACGAGGAGUGCUGUCCUGUAAAAGAUACAGAUCCAGUUAGUAGUCAACAUUCCUAAAACUAACAUGUGAAAGGUCUGUUGAUGCCCUCCUUUGGCCUAAUGGACUAAUGGUUAAGGAAUAACCUUUGGAAUAUAAUCGGGAAGGUCUUCACCACACAGCUUACAUGCUUCCUCAUAUGAUACUACUGCAACAAAAACCUAAAAGACAAGGUAAAGGCACAUGUAGCAAAAGAUUUAUAUUAUGUCAUACUAAGCAAGAAGCAAGAAGCAUUAACAAUAUCAGGACUCACUUUCCCUCCUCUGGAUAUCAAUGCAUUGGCUUCCAGCUCCAACUCUUUCUGCUUACUUUGCAAAUCUUUCUGUGGAACUAUGCCUAUAUAUUCCACAUAUGGCCUGGAAACAGGUACAUUUAUAAGUGCUAGAUUCCGCCAAAAGGAUUUUCAAACCAAUGACAACAUUGUUUCAAACAACACAACUGCUCAAAUGACUUGGAAUAUUAACACAGAACAGUAGAUCACUACUUUUGAGACAUGUCCUAGAAGAAUUAAUAGAUCAAAAACAUAGACUACAUGGAUAUUUCUUAAUCUGAAGCAUCUGUGGUUUCUUUAUAUCACAUAAGGCUCUUUGGACUAGGCUAUUUUGGAUGGCUUGGUUUGAAGGCUUUUCUUUCUAGGGUAAGAGCUCCUGUGAUGGAAGCUCCACAUGUUCAUGGAGUUGCUGAAAAAUUUUCAGUUCAAGAAUUAGGCUCAAGAGGAAGGACCACUUUCUGUUACAUUGGUAUUUUCUUGGACAGCCUACAAUGUCUGGAAUGAGAUGACUAUACAUGCUUCAUUAAUAAACCUGACAACAAAGAAACAAACUUUCUAGCAGAGGAUCGAACAAGAAAUUACAGUAGGCUACCAAUCUUCAACAUCUGAUUCUAACAGAAGAUUACAAAACACUUAAACCAUGUAUAAAGGACUAUUCCUAUAGAAACUAGAUAGAUAAGAAAAAUAUCACCACUACUUCUAAUCAAGGCGGUAGACAACGAAAUAAAUCAUACCCCUGAGGGAAAUGGUAGCCUUUGCUCGGCUUUAACUCGCCUAAUCCCACAUUCUUCAUACACGCAUCUAGCAAAUGCCCAGCUGAAUGAAUCCUGCACAAAACAAUCAACAUUCACCAAAAUAGAAACCAAACAUAAUUUCCUAAUAACCACUAAAUUACCCAAAAAAUCACCAUAGAUAAGUAAAUAACCUCUACAUUGCUUUAAAAUUACCGGAAAUUCAAACUAAUCAUACCUAGAAUUAAGCUUCCGCCUAGACUCAUCAACAUGCAACACCACCUCUCUCCCUUUGUCAAACUCCUCCGCCCACUCCUCGCCGGAAUUCUCCACCAAACCGUAGUGGUAAACCUUCACAGAUUAAAAUCACUAAAUUCACUUCCACCAUAAACCAGAAAUGAAAAUUCCAAAUUGAACCCGAACAGUCGAUCACUCACCACACCGUCUUUGGACCGCACAUCUUGCACGACGAACUUCACCUCCGAGCCAGCAACGCCGACGAAGCCUGUGUCCGCCGGUUGACCGCCGCCUUGCGGAUGGAACACCGUCCGGUCCAAAACCAAACCGGUCCGGCCAUCUUCACCCUUUAACAAACACAAACCAAAUUAAAACCCUAAACUUCGAUUUACAGAAGCUAAUCAAGCUCAAGACGAAGAACAAGUAGCCAAGUCAACACCUUGACCAGCGCCACCACUGUGGCAGUGGAUUCGAGCUUCCACAUGUCGUCGUAGUAAUCAAGCCUCGUGGCGCCGAUCGUAGCCAUGGCCACGUCACACUCGCCGAUCACCGACCACCGACAACCGACUCAGCUCAGGCGUUACGUACACGACUCUCGACACAACUCUGGCACCGUAGAAUAUAAUACGUUUUUUGCUUAUAACCCGCGAAGCUGACGAUCAGCUACCAGCCAAACGCCACCGUUUCGGCUCCACUUUCUAAACGUCGUCGUUUUCUGAAAUUCGUCAUCAGUGACGCAAGAUAAAAAAAAAACCCACGUCACGGUGUUUGGUUCGGUUUCAAAGCUAUCGAGGUAAAUAUAGUUAACCCUAGGGUAGAUAGGACUGAAUUUUACCACGUACGUAGUUAUUGAUUGGUAAUUUGGUAUAUGGAAAGUUGGAAACCAAAUCCAAUUUAGCUACGUACUUAAGCCGACUUCAAAUAGGAAUAGAAUUCCUUGUGUUACCUCCAUCUCUAUAUAUAUAGUACGUACGUACGGACAUUUUUUUAUGCAAUCUUGGGUUUCUAAUUUUGGUUGUUCGUAGCGAUAGUAAGGAUUAGAAUCCAUGGCGACUCUCUCAAUAACAAGGAACAAGAAGGUUAGGAAGAAUAGGAACUCAAGAAAGGGUGGCUCGGUUUUGAAGUCACUUCCCAAUGAGCUGCUGCUCGAAGUGAUUGCUAAGGUUGCAUCGAAUUCUUUCGACGUGUUUUGGCCACGAUCCUCAGCAGGGGUAGAGAGGUAACUUGUGCUACCAAAAAGUAAAUUAGAGUUUGCAGGGCGUGCCACCGCGCGGACGCGGAACGAAAACGGUGCGCGUUCUUGACUUCUAAUCAGGCGAAGUAGAGCUCCGGUGUCACCUCGCGGGCGAGGAAUUACGAGCAAACUAUCUAGUCACCUGUGAAUCGAUACUCACUGUUUGAAGCGAGCAGAGCAACAAUUGGGAAAGAGAGGCGAGUCCAGACGGGAUCUGAGAUCUAAGACGAGGUGCACUUAGAACUUAGGGUUUCAAGGAUGCUUGAAGAUUUGCAAUUGUUUUGUAUGAUUGAUUGUCUGUCUUUAAACCAGAUUCUCGAACUCUCUUAUAUAGCGAUCCGUAAGCAAUUCGCAGAGACCUAAUCACAACUCCAUUCGGACUCAGCAAUUAGAAUUCCACCAGGAAACGACUAGCUCGCGAGCCGCGCGAUCCAUGCAACACGUGUCCAAAACAAACUUCGCCUAGGUCCCGCUCACCUCCCCGCAUCAUAUCACUAUAGCGUCGUACGCGAACUCGAACACUAAGCGAUCCUAUCCCGCGGGUACUACAGUCCAUUUCCUACCUCGCCAUGCACUGUAAGAACAAAGGAUCCCGCGAGGACAUCGAAUCCCGCGAGGUAUCAGAAUCUUUGCAAAACUCCAACUCGCGUGUUGCUAGACUUCGCCACCCUUCGUGGGCUUCGCAUUAAAAAAGAGCCACAGGUGUUGGCCCAAAUGUUAUCCAAAACCUACCCCGAGUCUUGGACCAAAAAUACCCACUGGGCUCAAACACGACGAUCUCUGCCGCAUGAGGCAAAGCUGCAAGGAGAUUAACAAGGCGGGGCAAGACGACUAUAUAUUUCAACAUGUAUCCCUCGACAAGUUUCGAUUCAAUCCUUUGAGGAAAAGAAAACGAUAUUUGGAACUUUUGAGAAGUUGCGGCAAGUGUGGCUUUGUAUCGACAAGGAGUGCUUGAGCUUUUCAACUUGAAGGAAUUCGAUUUCGAAUCGGGAUUCGAGUGUUUGAAGAAAGAUGCAGCAAGAGGUCACAGAGAAGCAACGUAUGUUUAUGGGGUGUUCUUGGCUUGUGUAGGAGGUGAGAUGAAGCAACAAGAUUUACGAUCCUUGUGUAGUCUAGGUCGUAAAGAUUUGCGUGAAUCAAGAGAAAGGAUUAUGACUUGCAUUGGGAGUAUGUGGGUGAACAAAGUAGUAGUACGUAAAAUGCUUGCCUAUAAUGCUCGUGAUAAAACAUGCGGCCAAUGUGGAAAUUUUCGGGAUAAUAAUUUUGUGACUAAAGGAGGCUGGGACGACCAUUAUGAUGAGGGUGACAAUCUAAAUGGGUGUGAUUCAUGCAAGAUGAAUCAAGAAGUAUUAAUUUUUUGUGAUAGAUUACGUAGUUGUAUAGGAGCGAAUUUAGUUUAAAUUUGAAUAUUAGUGUUAGUGGAUUGGCGUUAUAUAUGAUUGGGUAGUGCUAGAGGGUCUUAAUAAAGCCUAAGAUUUAUGGCCUUAAUCCUAUGUGGCAUGUCAUGUAACCUAGACAUAUCAUCAAUUUUUAAAAUCAAGCCAUGUUAAUCUUAAAUGAAAAAAUAAUGUUAACCCUGACAAUUAAUGGCUAAUACAUACUAAAAUGGAAUAUUUUCUUACCCUAAUUUAUUUAUAAUGGUGUAGUUAAUAAUCAUAGCAAGAGAGGCUUUUAUUCCAUAAACGUAAAUUUCUUUCCAUCUUUGAGAAUCUAAACUUAGUUAUAGACUUUUAAAUUAUCAAUUUUUAUUUUAUUUUUACGGAUUAUAAUUAUUAUGCCAUAUACAUGCCUUACUCUCUAUCAAAUUUUUUUAAAAAAAUAAAAAAUAGAAAAACCUCUAUCAAAUUUCUUUUGGAUGAAUUACAUAUGUGACGCCCCAAUUUCCGAAUUAUAAUUUUCAAAAAUUUUAGCAUGAUAUAUCUUAAAAUAUUAAUAUCCCAAAACUUGUUUCAACAAAAUUCAAGGAAAAUAAACUCAAUGCGGAAUGUAAAUUUACACACAACUCCAAAUUGAGUUAAAUAUUACAUUUCCUUGUUUACAUAACUUAAGAGACAAGAAAUGAAACGCUCACAUGAGUUUAAUAAUUCUUAUCCCAAUGUAUAUAAAAAGAAUAUACAGUGAACAACUAAAACCCAACAAAAACCCUGCCACUAAGCCUCCACCUCAACCCUGCUGAUCCUCACCUGCAGGUCUAACCCCUACACCAAGAAAUGGUGCACCAGGUUGUAAACAACAAACCCGGUAAGCUAAAAAGCUCGUAUGAGUAAACUCAAAAAUAACACAACAUUUAUCAUAUCCAAUAGGGAAAAUUUCAAAAACAGUACACCAAUUAUGGUCCACUCUAAAGAUUAGCACAUUAUCUUUCAAGAAAAUCAAAACAGUACAUGAAGUUGUAAUUAUGACCCAAAAUCGAUACAUGCCAUUAUUUUUUCUGUUAUUUGGUGUCUCUACCGUUAAACUUCAAAGGAUAAAUUCGUCCUUCUCUUGGUUCCUCCUUCUAUCUCUGAAACAAGAAAAAACUGCAGCAACUUUGCAAACUUUUUUAAAUAUAAAAUAGAUGANNNNNNNNNNNNNNNNNNNNCAUGCUCAUCUAUUUUAUAUUUAAAGAGUUUGCAAAAUUGCUGCAGCUUUUUCUAGCUUCAGAGAUAGAAGGAGGAAGCAAGAGAAGGACGAAUUUAUCUUUUGAAGUUUAACGGUAGAGACACCAAAUAACAGAAAAAAUAACGGCAUGUAUCGAUUUUGGGUCAUAAUUACAACUUCAUGUACUGUUUUGAUUUUCUCAAAAGAUAAUGUACUAGUCUUUAGAGUGGACCAUAAUUGGUGUACUGUUAUUGAAAUUUUCCCUAUCCAAUAUUCCACAAGAGAGAUUUGAUCAAUAAUUAAAAACCACACAUCCAACACAUUACCCAAGAAAUGUACCCAUGAGUCCCAGAUAUUUAAAAAAAUACCCCUCAUGACCUACAACCACACUAUGUGUACCCAUGGAUCCCAGAUACCAUACAGUAUCUCUCAUGACCGACACUGACAGACGGACUAGAGCUCUAUUCCUAACCGCAACCAAUCACCCGGCCAAAGGCUUGGAACCCGGUUUGACUGUCUAAUAUCAAACACAAAAAUGAUAAAUAGCAACUUAAUCGCAACCAAUCACCCAAUUAAGGCUUGGAACCCGGUUUGGCUAUUUAUCCAACAAUCAUAAUAUCACAACAUUAUCCUCAACAACACAAUAUCACAUCAUUAUUCUCAACAACACAAUAUCACAUCAUUAUUCUAAACAACACAAUAUCACAUCAUAAAUUAUAUCCUACCACAUGGAUAUAUUUACAUGAACAAUUAUAGAUAUUCCACAAGAAUAAUCUAACCAAAAAUCAAUAAAAUUAUGAUCACAUGAAUCUCAAAAUAGCAUUUAAAGAAAACUUGUUUUAUCUUACCUAUAAGCCGUUGGCGAUCAAGCUCAUAUAUUUUUAAAAACAAAUAAAAGCAUAUUAUUAAAUCCAAUCUUAACCUCAUUAUCAUCAUCACAUGACCAUAAUAAUCAUUCGGUUCAAAAGUGAACCUUAGUGAGAUUUACUCACCUAGAUAGCCCACUGCGUUUCCGCAAAACAUAAGAGCAAGCCAACUCACAAUUUCACAAAUCACCUGAGACUUCGACCAAUUUUGGCCGGAACCGGCCGGAAACCGCCCUGAACCGUGACCAAAAAAUCAACUACAAAACCUAAGGAUGCCCCUCGUCGCCGCCGUAUACGGCAACUCUGACCGUGGCACAGCAGCCCUCUUUCCGGCAACACAGUUCCGAUUCCGGCAUGCUACACCGAGCAGCAGCUGCCCAGCCUUGAAGAGCACACUUGUGGGAGUCAAACGGGACCGGCGGCGGUCUAAUCUGUGGCCGGACGGCCGACUUCUUCUCCGGCGAAAUUGGCUGCUCGCAAGUCUCGGGAAGGAGGAGAGAGAGUGAACAGUUAAGUUUUCUGAAAUUAGGGUUUCCACCCCCAAAACUUUUCUAUUUAUCCCAAACUCCCGAAAAGCCACAAACUUCCGUUGACCAUAACUUUCUCAUACGAAGUCCGUUUCAGGCGUGCCACAUGUCUACGAACUCGUAUCGACAAACUCUACAACUUUCAUGAAGGAAGUUUUUGAAGAUAACUUACGGAAAAUAAAGUCAAAUUUUGGCCUCUUAAAAGUCAAAGCACUUAAAUAGACUCCCGAAACUUUAACUUCGCAUAACCCCAAGAAUUUCUAUAAAUAAUCCUUCAUUAAAAAAGGGAAUAAUACAAGGAAAAUUGAUAUGAAAAUCUAGUGUAUUACAACAUAUAUAUAUAUAUAAAUAUAAAUUACAUAUAUAUAUAUAAACUUUAUUUAGACGAAUUAUAUAUGUAAAUAUUUUUUCUUGGACAAAUUAUAUAUAUAGAAGUAUGUAUAUAUAUACAUAUGAUUCAUAAUUUUAAUCGAGCAAAUAUACUAUCAAAAAUAUAUGUAUUUUCACAUUGUAUUUUAGUGUUUAAUCUAAGCAUGAUUGUGAUGAAAAAGAAAAGAAAAAGAAAAGGUUAGAAAUAUACAUUUUAUUUUAUUAUAUAAGAAAAACAAAAUAAUCUAAAGCCAUUGAAUUUGGAAUGAUAAGAUUGUAUUUUACCCUAAAACAUUAGAAAAACUGAAGAAAGAAAAAAGAUUAAACCUAAAAUUGAAACAUAUAAAACAUGGAUAAAGAAUUAGAACACCAAUUCACCCAGACUUGAAUGGGAUUUCUAGUAAGGAGCCAUAAAUACAAAAGAAAAGGGAAAAAAAUGUAAGAAGAAUAUUGCGAACAAUUUCAAUCAAGUUAUGAACAAAAAUCCCAGAAAAAAGAAAAAAAAUUGAUCGGUACAGAGGUUAGAUGACAUAGAUUUCUGCAGGGGAAAAUGAUAAAAGGCAAUGUGGGCUGAAGUUGUGCUUUAACUAUUAUAUAAAUAGAUGUUUACAAAUUUCUUAACUGUAGGUUAUAUUGCAAUAUUUGAUUAAAUAUUCUAUAGUAAGUAAGGUGAACAAAGUAUAUAGUUGGGUGGCCAUAGCCAUAUCCUAAAAUAAAAGUUUAUCACUAUCUUUUUUUUUUUUGAAAUAAAGGGCUCAUAAUACCAAUUGUAUGACCCUAUGUUCACAUAACAAGAACUCGAAGGCAGGCAAGUGAGCCAAACACAGUUUGGCUAUAGCCCCACUCCAACACUCGAAUUUGAGGAUCUAGAGUUUGUGUUGGGACCAAUGAUGCACUAGGUAUUCUGAAGAUGUCACCAAAGAAGAGGGGUCGACACCGGGGCAGCAAAAACAUGAAGAUAACCAUGAAUCCGGCAUCAGAUUCCAUGGGCUCUGGUUCGGGCACUUCAAAGCACACUGCCUCUCCUGAGGCAGAUGGGGAGUAGUUACCUUGGGGAAGGAACAAAGAUCAAGGUGAUCCCCUCAUUGAUGAACAAGUACACUGCCUCUCCUGCUUCUCCCUACACAAAUUGAUCAAGGUGAUCCCCUACACCCUGACGAACAAGUACAUUGUUGGGUCUCUAGCCCUCUUGUUGAUGUUUAGGUACUCUGAAUUAGCUUGUGUAUGUAAAUUGCUUUUUAGUAUAAUUGUCUAAGGCCACGAGUGGGAACGACCAACCCUCUAGGUUUACCCUUGACCAAAAAAACAUAUCUAAUUGUGGUGAAAAACUACAUAACCAGAUUAAUCCAAGUGUUACUAAGCCUCAUUCUCUCGAUGACGCUUCUCAAAAAGCGUCAUUCCAUUCUUUCAAAGGUCUUGCCCAUAUCAAGCUUGACUGUCAUAGAUCUGGUCCUUGAUCUCUUAGCAUGGAUAUAAUGGGAGGUCUUAUUAGCGUAUUAUCAGUAAUGAGUCUGCAUGGAAUGAAUGCACUCUUAAAAGGGGAGAUUAUCACAGAAAGAAUGCGUUGGAAACUGUUAGCUAUCACCUUGGAACAUAUUUUAAAUCAUAUUGCAAAGAGCAACUGGUCUUAAAUCUGUCAUGUUUUUUGGCGUAUCCACCUUUGCAAUCAAGCAAAUAUAGGUAAAAUUUAUUUGUCUUUAUAACUUAUCAGAAGAAAGACUUUAGCCGACGAAAGUAAAAAAACCAGACCGACGAAUUAUUUUUUCGUCGGCUAAAGUAAAGUCGACGAAAAUAAAAAAACCAGACCGACGAAUUAUUUUUUCGUCAACUAAAGUGGACUUUAGCCGACAAAAUUUCCCUCGGCUAAUUAAAAAUUUUCGUCGGCUAUGGUCAAUUUUAGCCGACGAAAUUAAAAUUUCGUCGUCUGAAUUAAUUUUUUCGUCGGCUAUAGUCUGUGAACUUUAGCCGACGUAAAUUUUUAAAGUUUAGCCGACGAAAAAUAUAAUUUCGUCGGCUAAAGUGCCUUAUAUUUGCAGAUCUUGACAACAACUCAUCUGGGAAAANNNNNNNNNNNNNNNNNNNNNNNNNNNNNNNNNNNNNNNNNNNNNNNNNNNNNNNNNNNNNNNNNNNNNNNNNNNNNNNNNNNNNNNNNNNNNNNNNNNNNNNNNNNNNNNNNNNNNNNNNNNNNNNNNNNNNNNNNNNNNNNNNNNNNNNNNNNNNNNNNNNNNNNNNNNNNNNNNNNNNNNNNNNNNNNNNNNNNNNNNNNNNNNNNNNNNNNNNNNNNNNNNNNNNNNNNNNNNNNNNNNNNNNNNNNNNNNNNNNNNNNNNNNNNNNNNNNNNNNNNNNNNNNNNNNNNNNNNNNNNNNNNNNNNNNNNNNNNNNNNNNNNNNNNNNNNNNNNNNNNNNNNNNNNNNNNNNNNNNNNNNNNNNNNNNNNNNNNNNNNNNNNNNNNNNNNNNNNNNNNNNNNNNNNNNNNNNNNNNNNNNNNNNNNNNNNNNNNNNNNNNNNNNNNNNNNNNNNNNNNNNNNNNNNNNNNNNNNNNNNNNNNNNNNNNNNNNNNNNNNNNNNNNNNNNNNNNNNNNNNNNNNNNNNNNNNNNNNNNNNNNNNNNNNNNNNNNNNNNNNNNNNNNNNNNNNNNNNNNNNNNNNNNNNNNNNNNNNNNNNNNNNNNNNNNNNNNNNNNNNNNNNNNNNNNNNNNNNNNNNNNNNNNNNNNNNNNNNNNNNNNNNNNNNNNNNNNNNNNNNNNNNNNNNNNNNNNNNNNNNNNNNNNNNNNNNNNNNNNNNNNNNNNNNNNNNNNNNNNNNNNNNNNNNNNNNNNNNNNNNNNNNNNNNNNNNNNNNNNNNNNNNNNNNNNNNNNNNNNNNNNNNNNNNNNNNNNNNNNNNNNNNNNNNNNNNNNNNNNNNNNNNNNNNNNNNNNNNNNNNNNNNNNNNNNNNNNNNNNNNNNNNNNNNNNNNNNNNNNNNNGAAAGUUUUUCGUGUGGAAGGUUUGACCAAACUACGUAAUAUAGAGGGAGAUAUGAGCGUUUUCGUGAAUUUAUAGACUUUAGCCGACGAGAUAUUAAAAAAGUCGUCGGCUAAGGUCAAAAAUUUUGGGUGGUAAUUUUCAAAGGUCUUUAGCCGACGAAAAUAUAUGAAAAUUCGUCGGCUAAAGUCGAAAAUUUUCAAAAUUUUCAACCAAAAUUUUUUGGCGGUCAACCAAAAUUUUCAAAAGAGUUUAGCCGACGAAAAUAAAAAAUUUUGUCGGCUAAAGUUUUUUAUAUAGGAGUUUUACCGAAGGUGGAUGGUAAGAAGUCUAUUUCGCCUGCCAGAUUUUCUUCUCGGCCUAGCUCCGCCGUCAAGCCACCGGAGACCGCCACACUUGUCCCAAAAGCUUCGCCGUCGUCUCUACUUCAUUGCUGGAUAGGUGGUGCAUCGAGUGGCGCCGCCGUGAGAGAUAAAUCGAGCUCCAAAACUUCGCCGGUUCGGAUUCGGUGUCGAUCGAAUUUCUCCUUCCUCAGGUCACCAUUUAGUGAGUUCUAUAUAUGGAUAAGUUGAGUUUGAUUAGUACUACAUUCCCCUAGAAUUUGAUAGCUCGAUUCGGUGUGUGUGAGGAGAAUCGAAGAUUUGAAGUUUUUAGGGUUUAAAAUUGGGGAUUUUUAUAUUUUGAUUCAAUUGACCUAUUUAGGCUUAGAAUUGGGCUUCGACUUCUUCUAGAAAGUUGUUCGAAAUGUUGAGAAGAAGAUUCUGUCAAAUUUUGGUGGUGAUUGGAGGUGGCCGAAAGUUUCUGCAGUUUUUUUUUUCAAAAACCAGCAACUUUAGCCGACGAUAUUUGAAGGUUUAUUAAGGUUUAGCCGACGAAUUAUGGCAUAUUUCGUCGGCUAUAGUUAUUUUUUAAAUUUUUUAUAAGGUUUAGCCGACGAAACAGACUAUAUUUCGUCGGCUAUAGUUAUUUUUUUAAUUUUUUUAUAAGGUUUAGCCGACGAAACAUACUAUAUUUCGUCGGCUAUAGUCUGAGAAAAAAAUUUUUAUUACAGACUUUAGCCGACGAAUAUCUUAAUUGUUUCGUCGACUAAAGUCUGGGAAAAAAACCGACGACAUGUUUUUCAUCGGCUAAACUGCGGGACUAUAGCCGACGAAAUUUUUUUUUUCGUCGGCUAAAGUCAUCACAUACGACCUUUUCCCGACGAAAUCUUAACCGACGAUGGCUCGUCGGCUAAGAUCUUAGACGACGAAUUAAGCUAACAGGCCGACGAAAAUUUUUCGUCGGCUAAAGUGCUUGUCCUGGUAGUGUUACCAGACUACAGAAAAUUUUGAACUGCUGCAACAACCUCAGGUGGCUUGACUCCUAAUCUACUUAAACAACAAAUAUUUCCCAAAAUGGGAAGUCGAAAACUAUAAUCUCUUAUGAUUGUGAUUUGUCGAUACCUAAACUGACUUAACAUCUGAGAAGACCGACAACCCUGGUCUAUCCUCGAACGUAGUGUUUGUUUUGACAAUUAUAACGGUACAGGAAGAGCACAAAACUUGUGUUCCACUUAAUCGCGUUAUCAUGAGCACACCUAAAACAAUAUUCCAUUUAUUGAUGAUGGUUGAGGUAGAGAUCAUAAUCGAGCUGCACUUAUUUCGGUUAAAUUUUAGACACUAAACUGUCACUGUACGUACUACCACUUCUGUUUUUGACGUCACUUAUUUCAGUUAAGAUAACAACUUUAGACAUCACCAACUAUCAAAAUGUGAUUAGUGUUUCAAGAUGAAUUAUUGAGAAAAUGAUAGAUAGUAAAGAGAAUGGAUAACCAUCAUCUUAUUUAUUGAUAUGAACCAUUUCUAUAGAGAUUACAUAGCAUCAUAAGGUGUUGUAUAAAGAAAUAUAUCUUUGAUAUCAUAUCUCUAUAUAGAAUCGUGAUUCCUUGUUUGACUAGCAUUAGAUCAAAACACACACAUAUAGAAUAUUCGUGCAACAAUUAGCAAUAUGUAUCAUAUAGAAUGAAUAUAUUAGCAUACGGCGAUAAUUCCAACUUUAUGUCAUUAUCCUUUUUUGUUUUGAAAACUAUAUGCUCUUUAUCUUGUUGGAUAUAUGUCAUUGUAAAUGGAUAGAAAAUGUAUCUGGUAAGUAUGCAAAAGAGUAAAUGGUUAUUUCUGAAAGCCUUGCUUCCAAUAUUACUAUAAAAGACUAAUAUCAAACAAAUUGUUAAUUUGUUACCAUAAAAGACGAUUUCAGGAAAACAAGAUUAAUUUGUCACCGUAAAAGUUGAUUCCAAAAAAGGCAAAACUCAACAAAAUCCAACGAAUGUUCAACAAAAUAUAUUCAACAUUAACAAAGCACAGUAACCACCUAGCUACUAAACAUAAAACCUUAGCAAUUACCACUAAUACCAACUCAGCCAAAGUAACAAUAAACCAUAACUGUUAAUGGACUCGCUGAAGUCAUCCUCGAGCUUCUGAAACACCACCUCACAAUUUGCAUGCAUCAAAAGUGGAUGGUGGUGAUCGAUGAGUGUAACGGUGAUCUUUGUGAUUUUAAACAAAUAAAAUAUUCUGCACUUCUAGCUUCAAUGGCGACAGUCUGUCAAGUCCUCUCUUCUUCCUCACUAGUAUAAAUGGUCUUCCUCUUUGCUGUGGUUCAUCAUCCCCAGCAAGCCAUUGAUCUUAAGAGAAAGGGAGAAAGAUUAGAAGUGAGGCAAAAUGGAGAACAAUGUGUUUGGGAAUUACUUGGUGGUCAUAGUAGGGGCCGGCCCCUCCGGCAUUGCAACCUCAGCUUUGCUCAACUCCAUGUCGAUUCCAAACAUUGUCUUUGAAAGGGAGGAUUGUUGUGCUUCCCUGUGGAAGAAACGAUCCUAUGAUCGCUUGUGUCUCCAUUUAGCUAAGAACUUCUGCUCUCUGCCGAUGAUGCCGCAUUCGUUCAGAACUGCAACAUUCAUGUCCAAAGACAAGUUCGCAGACUAUGUGGACAAGUACGUGACUCGUUUCAACGUCAACCCGCGUUACUGUCACAAUGUCGAAUCGGCACUGUACGAAGAAGCUAAUCAGAAAUGGAAGAUCGAGGUGAAGAACACUGAGGUAACAGAUGGUGUGGGUUCCCUCCAAGUGUAUUACGCAGAUUUCUUGGUAAUUGCGACUGGAGAAAACAGUCGACCUGUUACCCCAGAGUUGCCUGGAAUAGAGACCUUUAAAGGAAAUGUUAUGCAUGCACAAGAUUAUAAGUGUGGAGCUAGUUUUAAGGAUCAGAAUGUGUUAGUUGUUGGUUGUGGCAAUUCUGGCAUGGAGAUCAGUAAUGAUCUUGCAGAGAGUGGAGCUCAUGCAUCGAUUGUCGUCAGAAGCCAAGUAAUUAACAUCUUGAUCUUUUUCUUUAUUUAUGUUUAUGUUCAUAUAUAUACACAGCUCUCUCUCUCUCUCUNNNNNNNNNNNNNNNNNNNNNNNNNNNNNNNNNNNNNNNNNNNNNNNNNNNNNNNNNNNNNNNNNNNNNNNNNNNNNNNNNNNNNNNNNNNNNNNNNNNNNNNNNNNNNNNNNNNNNNNNNNNNNNNNNNNNNNNNNNNNNNNNNNNNNNNNNNNNNNNNNNNNNNNNNNNNNNNNNNNNNNNNNNNNNNNNNNNNNNNNNNNNNNNNNNNNNNNNNNNNNNNNNNNNNNNNNNNNNNNNNNNNNNNNNNNNNNNNNNNNNNNNNNNNNNNNNNNNNNNNNNNNNNNNNNNNNNNNNNNNNNNNNNNNNNNNNNNNNNNNNNNNNNNNUCUCUACUCUACUCUCUCUACUCUCUCUCUCUCUCUCUCUCUCUCUCUCUCUCUCUCUCUCUCUCUCUCUCUCUCUCUCUCUCUCUCUCUCUCUCUCUCUCUCUCUCAGAUCAUUAACAUGGUUUUCUUUUGAGUUCGAAGAGAGAAGUUUGAUCAGCAUACAGGAUCUUGGUGUAUUGGAUGAGAAAGAAGUUUGGAGUAUUCUUUUUUUCGAUGAAACAGUUUAUAAUUUGAGAAGCUAGCUAGCUAGGGUUUCUCUCUCAUUUUUUUAAAGAAAAAUGUUAGAUAGCAUGCUCAACUACUGUAAUUUUUCAUGAUGUGAUAAAGAAAAAUAUUUAAAAUUGAAAAAUUGGUUUUCAAAAGUUUCUUAUUAGCUAUGUUUAUAUAAAUAUAUAUAUAAUUAUUAUAUAUAUAUAAUUUCAUAAUGACAUACUAAUGUUAUCAGGUAAUUUUGCAGGUUCAUGUGCUGAGCAGAGAACUUGUUCGGCUUGGGAUGGUACUGUUGGAUUAUCUCCCAAUGAAUAUUGUUGACAGGUUUAUUCUAUAUCUUGCCAAGUUCAGCUAUGGUGACUUGCCCAGCUAUGGCAUUUCUCCACCAGUUGAAGGGCCUUUUUUCUUCAAAGCACUUACCGGAAAGACUCCUGUAAUUGAUCGUGGAACUGUGAAAAAAAUUCGCUCCGGAAAGAUUAAGGUUUGUAAUCAUAAUUACUAGCACACAACAUUUAUUUACAACUAAUGAUAGAAAUACUUCAUGCAUGCAAGGUUCCAAGUACACUCGGUUUUUUGGACAACAAAUAUUGGGACAGAGUAAAACAAAGAGUUACAGAGUUACGAGAUCUUUUUAAGUAAACUUUAAUGAUGAUUUUACAUCGAUGUUUUUUAUGAUAUAUUGAUAGGUUUUCUCCGGAGUAGAGACAAUACGGCACAAUAUUGUGGAAUUCAAGAAUGGUUCUAUACAGCGUGUUGAUGCCAUUGUCAUGGCCACUGGUUAUCGAAGCGUAGCACACAAAUGGCUCAAGGUAAAAUAUAUGCAUAAUCGAUUAUAAAAAAUCAUUGAGUACUUUUGAGAGGUUCUAAUGGCAUGUUGAUAUAUUGUGUAGGAUUAUAAGGUCAUUCUGGAUGAGAAUGACAAACCCAAGAACAAAUAUCCAGGGCAUUGGAAAGGUGAAAAGGGCGUCUACUGUGUUGGCUUCUCAGGGAAGGGAAUUCCGGGGAUUUCGUUUGAUUCUAGGGCUGUUGCUAAUGACAUUCAUCAAAUUUUGCUUGUAAAGACUGGUAAUGCUGCAAGAGAGGUCUAGUCCUACCCGGUGCAUAUGUAUGUGCUUUGCUAGUUUUUGGAAUGGUUCCGCCGGACCCGAACCAUUUAUAAAUAAGAGUGCUUUUGUAGUUUGGUUGCUGUGUUGUUAAACUUGUCAUCUAUGUGUAUCGUGUUGGCUGCAUGUAUUGCAUAUAUGUAUAAACAGACCAUAUGUAUGCUAUAUGUAACUCAAAAGGCCUAUGUAUAUAUGGUUCGAAUAUGCUUAUCUUUUGUUUAGGGACUCUCUCGGAAAACCUUGUGAUUCACAGCAAGAACUUGCAGAGAGAGGAUACGGUCAGAUGAAGUGAAGGAAGCCAGAGGGACUAGGGAUAAACGAACAGAACGCAUCUUGGUGAAGGGUAGCUUUAGUAGCUAGAGAACCUGAUAAUUGAUAUACAAAUAUGCAACGCCAAUAAUCUGCUUAAUUUUGGUCAAGUACAUCGAUUAACUUCCACACUUGGUUAGAUAAGUGAAGAUGGGGGAAAUGAACAAGGAUGGCCACAAAUCGGCUUAAUUGGAAACCAGGACGAACAGGUAGCAGCCAAGAAGAGGUCACACUGGUCUAUGUGAUGAGACUGGUAUGGCAUAGGCAGCGACUUCCUCAUGUUGGAGGAAGUCCCAAAAUUCUACGUUUGGUUGUUCCAAAGAUCAGCCAGACAAGCAAUUGAGAAGGUGAUUUGUGACGGUAAAGAACUAGUUGCAAGAGAACUAUCAAAAGUUUGUGUCAUCCCCAUUAUGCAAAUGUGGAGAGGAAUGAAUCAAAUCCCCAUCAAAAGUAUGAGUUUACAUGGGUUAGGUGAGAAGGCCGAAGCUACAUGUGUUAUGAAAGCUUCUUAAACAGCAUGGCAUUUGCUCAAAAAUAUGCUUUGGCAAUUUAUCAAAACCACAGAACACGGAAACAAUAAAAUCUGGCAAACUUAAGCUUGAAUAUCUAGAUAAUUUAAAAGUCGCAAAAAAGAUGCCACCAACUAGUUGAUCCCGUCAUCAAAACAAAUACACAACAUCAUUAUAGAUUGGUUCACUUCCAUACUCUAAAAAGAAAUUUCAAAAUACUAGAAAAAUCAGCUCAAGUUCAGUCUUGCUUCAUUACUGUUGUUUCACUUCAGCUUUCUUCUUCUGCCAGAGUCGGUCGAGACCACUGUCAGCAUCUCCCUGAGAACAUAAAGCAUGAUAUCAGAAGCAGAUUUCAGUUAUCAAAUAACUAAAAACAGAGACAAACAAAGCCUUAAAGAUAAUCCAGUCUUAAGAUGAGAAAUAAGAACAGAGACCACCUUGCUUUCAACAGACUAAUACUAUGAUGAGAAAUAAGAACAGAGACCACCUUGCUUUCAACAGACUAAUACUAUGAUGAACCAGUAGUCUGAUGAACAAACUCAAUGACACCAAAACAAUAUGCAAAAGAAUACUGAAGACACAGCAAGCUAUGACUUAUACUCAUCUUUUAUGUUACACUUGUUUAUUUCUUCUUAGUUUGAAGAACUUAUCCUUUGUUAUGUAAUAUAACUUGGACAUUAGAGGGCAGGCGCUUCAUAUUUCUAUUUAAAUUCCUUAAAGUUUUAGGAUCAUAGUUCUGUGAAUUCAUUUGCCAUAAGUCAAUAACUAGAUGUAAGAUAUCUCAGUAUAUACCAAACGCAAUUAAAACUAGACAAAUGAAUCCCAAAUCAAACCAACUACCACAAUUACAACACUAUACAAUACUAAAAUGAGUGAAAGAAGGAUAACCUGAGCACGGACGUAACCGCAGAGAGCAAAAGUGGAGAACUGGCCAGUGUAGUUGCCAUUCUCAUCAAGAUGCCCAAUGUUGAUCUGAACAGAUGCAUGAUCCUUCGAGGUGAUCAGCCUGUUAGUCGCUGAGCUGCAUCCACACACCACACAAGUUCAGCUAAAACGUCCAACCAAAUUACAUACCAGACAACGCUAAAACAACAUAACCAAGUUAAGAUUGUAUACCAUUUCCUGGGAAUGUAGAGCUCAGUGAUUUGUCCCUCCUCAUUUUGCAUCUUGAUGAAUGAGUUGAUUACUCCCGCAACGACGACAAAAUCCUACAACCCACAGAAACACAAACAAACCUAAGUUUCUCAAAUCUCGACAAAUUCUAACUGUGCAAGGCAAUUUCCAAGACACCAAAUUGGAAAACAUUCUAUCACAAACAAGAAGAAACAAAUCGUAUCUCUAAGCAAGAACAGUAAGGCUUUUCACACCAUUCCAAUCCAACUAAAAAGCUGUCACAGCCCUAUUUCUGUCUUUUCCAAUACCAAAAUCUAUUGCGGUUACACAAAACUGCUCAAAUCCAAAAGACAAUCACCACAGGCUCACAAAAUUAUACAAAUAUAUCAAAGUUUAAGGCUGUACUAAACGAUUAAGCAAAUUCAAAACAACCAGAUCAAGUAGAUAUAAACUCAGAGCAUGAAUUGAUCGAAAUUGUAGACCAACUAAACCCUAACGAUCUAUGAACGAAGGAUAGGAGAGACAAGAGAGAAGGAGAGAGGGAGGGACAGUACCUGGAGGCUGGAGGCUGCAGGCGGCGAGAGCUUGAGUGAAUGGAGAAUGAGAGACACACUUAGGUUUAUAAAAGAAGAACUGGGCUUAGGGCUUUGGAUAUUCUUCUAUCAAAGCCCACUACUACAAGUCUACAAGACUACGACUUCAUACAGUAAUCACAUCGCAAAUAACACAUAGGAUUUUAUCAACGAAUUUCUUACAUUUACUUAUUUAUUUAUUUGUACUAAAUUGCCAGGAAAUAGAAAAAUUUCUUUUCUUUUCCAACGUCAUGAAUAUUGAAAAAUUUUGAUUGGACCAACAACCAAUGACUUAUACAAUUCAGUUCUCAACUUCACUCGACUGUGUAUGUAAUCGGAAAAAAAUAAAAAAUGUAUUGUAGUGAUUUUCUUCUAAAGAUACUCAAUCAGUCAAUCUGUCGGAGUUGGUCGUUGAAGUGAAUGGUAUAAAAAGGGAAAGAAUAAAACACUAGUUUAAUGGAAAAUUUUAUAAUAAGUUAAUGCAUGUCAUGUAUCAAUUUUGUCCUAAAAUUGUAAAAUAAGUCCUUAAAGUAGUAAUAUUAAUAUUUAAAGUGGUAACUGAGUCCUUAAAAUGAUUAAAAAGAAGUUGAUGCAACUUUGAGGACUCAUGUUAUAACUUUAAAAACUCAAUUAUUUUUUUAAAGACACAUGAGGACUAAUGUUGUAACUAAUUUUUUUACAAGUUUAAAGACUCAUAUUACAAGUUUGAGGACUAAUAUUACUAUUUUAAUAAUUCAUUUUAUAACUGUAAGACAAAGUUGAUGCAUGACUGCAUUAACACACCUCAUACAUUAACACCCACUAGCCUUACUCAUAGUUCAAUACAUGUUUAACGUUGCUUAAAACCUAAAACUCGAUUAUCUAUGAUGUCGAUAUAUAUACUUUCCAAGCUAUUAUGAUAUUCGAAUUCCCUAUUGAACCUUACAUUCUUUUUUGUUAAUCAAGAAAAUCUUCUCAGAACAAGAGCUGCUAAGCAGUUUUUUAGUACAGUCAUGGUGCAGAACGUCCCAAAGAAGCAUUCUGAAACCAUAGAGAACUUGUUCUAUCUUCAUAGACAAUAGCAGCUAAUUAUCUAUGUGCAACAUUUUUGAAUUUUGCAGUCUUUUAACUUACAUUACUCACAAUAAACAAAAGGUAUAUAUAGAGCAAGCACAAGCUAGAACAUCUCAAAUCAAUAUAAAAUUUCCACACUAGGGACCAAUAUAAAGGAAAAUGUUUCUAGGCCUUAUUAAGGCUUAGGAUUUAUGGCAUUAAUCCUAAGUGGCAUGCCAAAUCACCUAUCCACAUCAUCAAAUAAAAAAAUACAUGUUAUGUCAUUUUUAGGUUAAAAAUACAAUCUUAUCCUUUCAUAUCCAAUGGUUCUAGAUUAUUUUGUUUUUAUUCUAUAAAAAAUGUUUUUAAGCCUUUUUUUCAUUAUUCAUGCUUAAAUUUAAAUAUGAAAUAUAUAUACAUAUAUAUAUAAUUAUACUCAGUUUGAAAAUAUGAACUUAUUUGAAUAUAUAUAUUGUUUUCAAAAAAAAUAUAUACACAUACAUAAUUUUUUCAAGGAGAAAAUUAUAUAUAUAUCUAUAUAUUUGUCCAAAAACCUUUAUAUAUAGUUCAUCCAAUAUAAAUUUGAUAGAGAUUUUAUUUUUUUAUUUCAUUUUUAAAGUUCGAUGGUGAAUUAUAUAUAAAAUAAUGGUGAAUUAUGAAGUCUAAAACUAUUUGAUUCACAAAGCUAAUUUUUUAUUUAUUAAUAUCGUAAUUGUGGCCCUAAAUGUAAUGAAUUAUUAUAAUAUUUGACUACAUAAAGAAAUGCAUUUAAUUUAGUUCAUGUAAGGUAACAAAAUCAACUACAUAAAAAUGGUAACUAAAUCAUCUUGAUGAAAAUGAACAAUAAUUAUUCAAAUUGAUGCAUGAAAUAUAGGGAUUGAAUAAGUAAGAAACUACAAUGAAUCAAUGAAUUGAUGGUGUUUUGGUUUUAGAUAGAUCGUUAUCAAUAAAUUAUGGUAUAUAACUAUAUAUGCCUAUAUGUAUUAAGAUACAUUUAAUUUAGUUCAUGUAAGGUAACUAAAUCAACUACAUAAAAAUGGUAACUAAAUCAUCUUGAUGAAAAUAAACAAUAUUUGGUAUAAUUAUUCGUUAAUUUGGUGUGAUUAUUAAUUAGAUCGUUAUGAAUAAAUUAUAGUUGGUAUAGGGUAUCUAUAUAGGCAUGUCCAUAUUUAUAAGAGGAUAUGCAAACAUUCCAUAUUAGUAUAUGUAUUGCCAUCUAUAGACAAAUCCUCCUUAUUAAUCAGAAAAAUCAAACCUUAAAUUAAAUUUGCAAAAUAGAAAGAAAAUAUAUUAUACACAUUUAUAUCGGUACCUCACGAAAUAUUGUGAUGGAGUUCAGCAUGAGAUUUUUUUGGCAAGAGAUGAACUUCACUGAAUAGGUGUGAGAUAUAGUGAUUAAUUAAGUAUAUUAAGUGUGAAGUGUACUUCAUUUAAUGAAUCAAAUAUCUAAAAUAGAAGUCAUCAUCCACAUUAACAUAAACUAAUAUACUGUUUUACACAAAUAAAUACGUACUAGAUAUCCAAUGAUUAUUUCAAUAAUAUUGAAAAAAGAAGCUAGCCAUCAUUGAUAUUGUGAUUUGAAGUCAAGAACAUAUCUUAUAGUACCGGUACCUCACGAAAUAUUGUGAUGGACUUCAGCAUGAGAUUUUUUUGGCAAGAGAUGAACUUCAUUGAAUAGGUAUGAGAUAUAAUGAUUGAAUAAGUAUGUUAAGUGUGAAGUGUACUUCAUUUAAUGAAUCAAAUAUCUUUUAUCUAAAAUAGAAGUCAUAUACUGUUCUACACAAAUAAAUACGUACUAGGUAUCCAAUGAUGAUUUCAAUAACAUUGAAAAAAAAAGCUAGCUAGCCAUCAUUGAUAUAGUGAUUUGAAAUCAGGAACAUAUCUUAUAGUAACAAACAAGUAUUAAGUAGUAAAUAAUGAACUAAUAAUGUUCUCUUAGAAUUUUUCCCUAAUAGAAUAUUCACAUUAAAAUAAAAUUAGUCAUUGUUCGCAUUGAAAUUCAAAGUCAUAAACAUGUCACAUAGUAAUAAAUAAGUUACAAGUACCAAUAAUAAUCUAGUAAUGUUCACUUGGAACAUUUCCCAAAUAGCAUGUUCACAUUGAACUUCACAUUGAAAUAAAAGACAUUAUUUACAUUAAAAUUUGAAGUCGUUGUUCACAUUGAAAUUUAAAGUCCUAAACAUGUUUUAUAAUAACAAAUAAGUUAUAAGUAGCAGAUAAUAAGCUAGUAAUUUUCACUUGGAACGUUUCCAUAAUGACAUAUUCACAUUGAAAUAGAAGUCGAUCAUUUUUUUUUUUUAAACGUUUUAUUAAUAACUCACACACCUUACAUAUGUCAGUGAGGUUUGAACCUAUGACCUUAAAGUUGUCAGUUAAACACCUUAAUUAACCAACCAAGCCACGGCUCACCGACAAUAGAAGUCGAUCAUUAUACACAUUGAAGUUCACAUUCAAAUAUUCAAAUAGAAGUCAUUUUUCACAUUUAGAUUUAAAAUGAUAAGCAUAAGUUAUAAAUAGCCAAUGAUGAGCUAGUACGUAAUGAUCACUAGCUAAACAAAUAAAUACUAAGUAGCUGACAAUGAGCUACUAAAGUUCACUAUAAACCUCUCUUUAGUGGAAUAUUCACACUAAAUAAAAAAAAGUAUUAAGUAGCUAAUUAUGUGCUACAUGCAAGUUCACUAAGGACGUAUCACUACCAGGACAAACACUUUAGCCGACGAAAAAUUUUCGUCGGCCUGUUAUCUUAAUUCGUCGGCUAAGGUCUUAGCCGACGAAGGCUCGUCGGCUAUAGUGUCGUCGGGAAAAGGUCGUCGGUGAUGACUUUAGCAGACGAAAUUUUUUUUUUCGUCGGCUAUAGUCCCACAGUUAGCCGACGAAAAACAUGUCGUCGGUUUUUUUCCCAAACUUUAGCCGACGAAACAAUUAAUAUAUUCGUCGGCUAAAGUGUGUAAUAAAUAUUUAAAAAUNNNNNNNNNNNNNNNNNNNNAUAUAUAUAUGUAUCUAUAUAUAUUUUUAUAUAUAGUUCAUCCAAUAUAAAUUCGAUAGAGAUUUUCUUUUCAUUUUUAUUUCUUUUUUAAAGUUCGAUGGAGAAUAUAUAUAUAUAUAUAUAUAUAUGUAAAAAGAAAAAAUAAUGGUGUAUUAAGAAGUCUAAAACUAUUUGAUUCACAAAGAUAAUUUUUUUUAUUAAUAUUGUAAUUGUGACCCUAAAUCUAAUGAAUUAUUAUAAUAUUUGACUCCAUAAAGAAAUGCAUUUAAUUUAGUUCAUGUAAGAUAACUAAAUCAACUCGAUUAAAAAAGUUAACUAAAUGAUUUUGAUGAAAACAAAAAACAAUAUUUGGUAUUAUUAUUCGUUAAUUUGGUGUGAUUAUUAAUUAGAUCAUUAUUAAUAAACAAUAUUUGGUAUAGGCUAUAUUAGUAUAAGUACUGUCAUAUGUAAAUCAAUCCUCCUUAUAAUAAGAUAGUCAGAAAAAUCAAAACUUAAAUUAAAUUGGCAAAUUGGAAAUAAAAUUUAACAUUCAUAUUCAGUAGCUCAUGAAAUAUUGUGAUUCAAGAGGUAAGAACUUCCUCACUAAUAAAUUGACUUUUUAUGAAGGUUUAAAAUUUUCAUUUAUGAUAUUGAUUUAAAAUGUUGAUUUAGGUAACUUGAUCACCAUACUCUGAAUUAUUUUCCUUGUUCGUUCAAAUCAUAAUAAGUUUACAUCACGCAUGAGAUUUUUUUGAUCAAUAGACAAGCUUCAUUGAAUAGGUAUGAGAUAUAGUGAUUCAAUAGGUAUGUUAAGUGUGAAGUGAUACUUCAUUUAAGGAAUGUCUAAAAUAAAAGUCAUCAUCCACAUUAACAUAAAAUAACAUAUUGUUCUACAUGAAUAAAUACUUACUAGGUAUCUGAUGAUGAUUUCAAUAACAUUGAAAAAGAAGCUAGCCAUCUUUGAUAUAGCGAUUUGAAGUCAUGAACAUAUCUUAUAGUAACAAACAAGUACUAAGUAGUUAAUAAUGAACUAACAAUGUUCCCUUGGAACUUUUCCCUAAUAGAAUAUUUACAUUGAAAUAAAAAAACAUUGUUCACAUUGAAAUUCAAAGUCAUAAAUAUGUCACAUAGUAACAAAUAAGUUACAAGUACCGAUAAUAACCUAGUAAUGUUCACUUGGAACUUUUCCCAAAUAGCAUGUUCACAUUGAAAUAGAAGACAUUACUUACAUUAAUUAAAAUUUGAAGUCGUCGUUCACAUUGAAAUUUAAAGUCCUAAACAUGUCUUAUAGUAACAAAUAAGUUAUAAGUAGCGGAUAAUAAAUUAGAAAUUUUCACUUAGAACAUUUCCCUAAUGACAUAUUCACAUUGAAAUAGAAGUCAUUAUACACAUUAAGGUUCACAUUCAAAUAGAAGUCAUUAUUCACAUUGAGAUUUAAAAUGAUAAACAUAAGUUAUGAGCAACCAAUGAUGAGCUAGUACGUAAUGAUCACUAAACAAAUAAGUGCUAAGUAGCUGACAGUGAGCUACUAAAGUUCACUAUAAACUUUUCUUUAGUGGAAUAUUCAUGUAUACUACAAUAAAAGAAAUAAGAACUAAGUAGCUAACUAUGUGCUACCUGCAAGUUCACUGAGGACCUUUCCUAGCUUAAUGUCGUAUUCACAUUAAAAUGGAAUAAAUAAGUAUGGGGUUUAGGGAUAAGAGUUUAGGGUUUAGGGUUUAGGGAUAAGAGUUUAGAGUUUAGAGUUUAGGGUUUAAAGAUUAAAUAUAUUAAGUAGUUAAUAAUGAGCCAAGUACAAGUUCGCCGGGGACUUUCCCUAAUGGCAUAUUCGCACUAAAACGUACAUAACACAUUAUACAUAUUAAAUGUCUCAUGUAUUAAUUUCAUCAUUUUUAAAGUCUCAUGUAUUAACUACUUUGCAUGUUUAAGCCAUUUUUAUACUUCUCCCAUCUACUUGGCAGUACGUAUACUAAUAUAAAUGUUUGCAUAUCCUCUUAAUACAGACAUGCCUAUACCAAAUAUAGUUUAUUAAUAACGAUCUAAUUAAUAAUCACACCAAAUUAACGAAUAAUUAUACCAAAUAUUGUUUAUUUUCAUCAAGAUGAUUUAGUUACCAUUUUUAUGAAGUUGAUUUAGUUAGCUUACAUAAACUAAAUUAAAUGCAUUUCUUUAUGGAGUCAAAUAUUAUAAUAAUUCAUUAAAUUUAGGGUCACAAUUACGAUAUUUAAUAAAAAAAAUCUUUGUGAAUCAAAUAGUUUUAGAUUUCUUAAUUCACCGUUAUUUUUUCUUUUUACUAUAUAUAUAUAUAUAUACAAGGCCUUUCAAUGAGAGAUUCCUUAUUUUUUGUCUAUUUUUAGGGAUAGGCCCAUAUCAUUAGAUCUGUUUUUUAAUGGGCUUGAAUGGCUGAGAAUUAAAAAAAAAAACUUAACACUUANNNNNNNNNNNNNNNNNNNNNNNNNNNNNNNNNNNNNNNNNNNNNNNNNNNNNNNNNNNNNNNNNNNNNNNNNNNNNNNNNNNNNNNNNNNNNNNNNNNNNNNNNNNNNNNNNNNNNNNNNNNNNNNNNNNNNNNNNNNNNNNNNNNNNNNNNNNNNNNNNNNNNNNNNNNNNNNNNNNNNNNNNNNNNNNNNNNNNNNNNNNNNNNNNNNNNNNNNNNNNNNNNNNNNNNNNNNNNNNNNNNNNNNNNNNNNNNNNNNNNNNNNNNNNNNNNNNNNNNNNNNNNNNNNNNNNNNNNNNNNNNNNNNNNNNNNNNNNNNNNNNNNNNNNNNNNNNNNNNNNNNNNNNNNNNNNNNNNNNNNNNNNNNNNNNNNNNNNNNNNNNNNNNNNNNNNNNNNNNNNNNNNNNNNNNNNNNNNNNNNNNNNNNNNNNNNNNNNNNUUAUGUAUGUGUGUGUAUAUAUAUAUAUAUAUAUAAUAUAUGUAUAUAUAAAUGAGUUCAUAUUUCGAACCGAGUAUAAUUAUAUAUAUAUAUAUAUAUUUCACAUUUAAAUUUAAGCACGAGUAAUGAAAAAAAUAGCUUUAAAAACAUUUUUUUAUAGAAUAAAAUAAUUUAGAGUCAUUGGAUAUGAAAUAAUAAGAUUGCAUUUUUACCCAAAAAUGACAGCAUGAUUUUUUAAUUUAAUGAUAUGGAUAGGUGACUUGGCAUGUCACCUAAGAUUAAGACGUACCAUAAAUCAUAAGCCUUAAUAAGAUUCUCUAGCACUACCCUAAUAUAAAAUUCCCACACUAAGGACCAGAAGAAUGCCCCAAAUUGCAAAACUUGAACCAAAUAACGACGUACUGGACUAUGAGUACGUAUACGUAAACAUAAUUAGACUUUCACAUAUAAACCAGGUAUAUCUUCUUAAUUCACAGCCCUGCAGUUCUUCCUGAUCUCUCCUUGUUUCCCAACCAACACAUCAAUGGAACCCAUCUUCACCAUCGCAGCAGCAAACUCCAAACCCCAUCUCCCCGGAUGGUUUCGGUUGUACUUCACCAUCUUCCUAGUCAAAUCACUGCUCCAAAGCUCCUGAUCCGUUGCCAACAACCCUUUGUGACCCACCAAAUUCUUAUAGUAGUUGUUAUCGAGCAAAGUUGGGGUUAAGGGAUCAAAAGCCACAACCGGAUCAACACCAUUUUUCACAUUAGGGCAUUUGGAUUUCAAGUACUCCCCAUAAGCCGCAUCAAGUUCAGGGUCUUGUGCAUGUGUUUUGUUAAAGGAGUACAGUCGUUUUGAGAAGGAAGAGCAGUGUGAGUCCCCAAUGGAGUGAGCUCCAGAGAGCGUCACCAUAUCUUUCAGUGACAACCCUUUUCUUGCAAAGUUGGUCUUCAGUUGUGUUGCGUUCAAAAACGCAUCAGGGAGGUUUUUGGUCACUUCUGAAACCAACGAGACCGUUCCGUCACGGCGGCCUCCGGGGGCAGAGUAGUAUGUUCCCCCCGUGAUAAAAACACUGUCUCGGGCAGCGAAGGUGAUUAUGUCUGCACAGGAGACGGUGUUGGGGCAUUGAGCUUCUAUAUUGGCCUUGGCUUCGUCUAUGACCUCAAAGCCUUGGACGCCUUUGUUUCCCAUGCUUUCUUUUUCUGCAGCUGGCUUGCCAGGUUUCGAAUCGAGCAGAAUUGAUGCAUCGCAACCCUAAGUAAAAUCAAAGCAGGAGUUUAUAUUAAAUGGUCCUAGAUCGAAUUUCCUUCAAGAGUUUAGCUAAACUACAUCUUAUAUCCAGAAGUGCAUGUCAUCGCACGCCAACCAGGUGAUUACUCUUGUGAGAUGAAAAUUGUAUAAAAUAUUGGUUGCAAUAUGCAAGAAUAUUCAUUAAUUUUCUUUUACAUAUUUGUAGCUAGCUAGCUCUUUACACUUUCUUUUUCAUUAUAUUACUCCGAUCCAAAUGUACUCAUGAAAUAUUUCAAUCCUCUCCUCUGAUUACAAAGGAAUGAGCAAUAAUCUCUGAAUAUAAACUCGGAAAUAAAAGAAUAGUUGUCGAACGUACGUACCAUGACAAAGCAAUCGUGGAAAUGGAGUCUGAUGAGCGCAGCAGCUAUGCCCGGAUCUGUUGCGGCUGCCUUCUUCACUGUAUCUCUCACAAUCAUCUCCGCCGAGGGGCAUGAUUUCCGGUAGGAACCAACCUCCAAAGGCACAGAGGCGACCGGUGACGAGACCAAACCCACCAAGAUCAGCAGCAAACCGAAGCAACUGAUGAACAAGUUUGCCGGCAUUGGAUCUAAAUAUCAAACCCUAAAACUUAACUCGAGCUUAAAUGACAGAGAAAAAGGAUCGAGUGAAGCACAUAUAUGGAAAAGCCUUGCUAGCUACUGCAAAUUUAUAGCAAAGUGAGUAUGAGCAAAGCCAUAGGAAUGCCAAACCAGCAGGCAAUUGUAGUGAGGCUUCGGAAAUUGGUAAACAAAUCACAACAUACAGAUUAAAAAUGAAAGGCGUGUGCCCCCCGCACGACUCACUCAUUCCGCUGCGUUAUUAUAUCACUGAAAUAGAUCGACGAGUGUGAAAAUGAGAAUCUAAUGACCUAGCAUGGCGAGUCUUUUACCCACCUUUAUAGAUGCAAUGUUAAGAGGGUCAUUUGUUUUCCCCGUCGUUCAAUGUUUAAAUGUAUAUAACAAAGAAUUAGAAUCAAACUAAUGACCAUGAGUACGUUUGCACGUAGUGUAGUACGAUUUGUUGAGAAGUACGAUGAUUGUAAUCUUAUAUGACUGUCCAACAUCUAUUCAUCUUGUUUUAAACAUCAAAAAUCCAAGUAUAACACUCUAUUACUUAACUUUACGAAUGUAGAAUUUUAUAUCGGAACUUCACACGCAAUAUUUCAACAUUUCAACGUAGAAAUUAAUUGUUUGACAUACCCCUUUUAACAUUGGAUUUGUUCUCCCUUCAAUUCGAUAUAAUUUUCCUAUGAAUUACUAUGGUCACUACAAGUCUAAACCCCACAUUUAAAUGCCGUAAUGUGUAUGUAUGUCAUAAACUUGGUAAUGUGUGUGCAUGUGGGUCUUCUACUUGGUUCGGUGUAGUAAAGUUCUAUCAAACUAUAUACUAAAAGCAGAAUCGAUCACACAUUAUUAUCGAUUUUGGGCAGAAUUAGUAUAAUGUUGAUCAAGUCCUCUAAUUAGUCUUGCAUCUCAAGCAAACUCUCAUGAGGAACCGAUAUACAUCACAAUUCAACCCCAUGUAUCAAGUCGAUCAUUUAUAUAUAUUUCAAUGAAUCACAGUUCUCAACUAUUUGAAAACCAUGGGAAUGCAUGGACACAAUCUAGAACAGACAUCAAGUCGCAAGUGACUAUAAAUUAAGAUCAAGUCGCGACUGUUCCCCCUUCGUUUGCAUUUCGCCUUCAUUGAUCAAAGCGAUGGAAACUUUCAUUGCUUUGGUCCACAACCCACAGAAUAUAUGCUACUAUAGCUUCUUUGUUCAAAGCUGGCAACUAUAGAAGCUUGGACGAUAUAAAUGUGCUUCGUUUUGUUUAUCUCACAUUCUCACAAUUUAACAUAUUUCUAAUUUUUUUGAAAAUAGUUCCAAGGUACACUUCCACGUAUGUUAGAUAUAUUUUUGGUUCUGGGUUUUGUAACAUUUCUUCAUUCAAUGUUAGUUGAUUUUUGUUGCCAAAGAAAAAAAAACGCGAAGAUAAAUUUGUAUAGUAUUUGUGGUUGCCCUAAACUCCACAAAUUAAGACAAUUACAAGGCCUUCAAUAAUUAACCACCCUAACACUAUGAAGGUACGUUGUUUGGUGCAAAGUGAAUAAAACACUUAGUAAAUUUAGCUCUUUUAACAAAUAACCCAUCUAGCUCCAACCUAAAAUUUCAGACAAAAGGUUAAAAUUAAGGGAAAAUGCUCAUUUAGUACUAAUUCAAACCCCUUAUUUCCCAUUCCAAUGAUAAUUUUUUGCAUUAGCCCAUUCCAAUAUAAGGUAACCUUUUUUAUGCCCAAAUGCACAAAUCUUUUACGCCUAAAUGCACAAAUCUUUAUUAAAGUCUUAACAAACCAUAUUAUUUUAAAACUAUUUUUCCCCACCUCUUCAACAUGAAAAGACUUGGCCGGAACCUCGGACUCCGGUCACCGGCCGCCGGACUCCAGUCACCGGAAUUUCCUUGACCGCCGGAUUCCGGUCACCGGAAUUUCCCCGACCGUCGGACUCCGAUCACUGGAUUUUCCCCUGUAACCAGUUACUGACCAGUUACUAGCCCCUAGUAACCCGUUACUGACACCCAAUAAUCACUUAGUUUUCAGUUACUGACACCCAGUAAUCAUCCAAUAAUCACUUACUAACCCCUACUAACCAGUUACUGACACCCAGUAACCAGUUACUGACACCCAAUAAUCACUUGGUUUUCAAUUACUGACACCCAGUAAUCAUCCAAUAAUCACUUACUCAUCCCCAAUAAUCGAGUUACUGACCCCAAUAACUUUUAGUUUUCAGUUACUGACACUCAAUAAUCACUUAGUUUUCAGUUAUUGACACCCAGUAAUCACCCAAUAACCACUUACUGACCCUCAAUAAUCAGGUUACAAACCUCAAAUAAUAAGUUACUGACCUCAAUAAUUACUUAUCAAUCCUCAAUAAUCACUUACUGACCCUAAUAUUCAAGAAAAAAAAAAUCUUUAACUGACUUGAACUGGGCACCCAUAAUUUCUUCUCUGGGCACCCACCUUCCCCGAUGGUGAGCACACUAGCCUCCUCCACCGAACCCGGCGCACCUCACUCUGCAUAACAAGUCCAGAUCCGGCGCACCUCACCUCACUCCACCGAACCCGACGCACCUCACCUCACGUCGGCAAGCAGUGCCCUUCCCCAGCCACGAUCCAGCCUGGAUUGAACUCCAGCCAAGUUGCAGCUCGCUAAUAUCUACACCAUCUCGUCGUCGCCGGCUUGGCGCAGAUCGGAGUCGCUCCGGGAUCAGAUAGGAGAUCUGGUGAGGUGGAGGAAGGACUAGACGCCGUCGUAGGCGUAGGAGAUCUGGUGUGGUGCGGUGGAGGCGAGGUGAUAAGGUCUGGGUUGAUGAGAGAGAGAGAGAGAGAGAGAGAGAGAGAGAGAGAGAGAGAGAGAGAGAGAGAGAGAGAGAGAGAGAGAGAGAGAGAGAGAGAGNNNNNNNNNNNNNNNNNNNNNNNNNNNNNNNNNNNNNNNNNNNNNNNNNNNNNNNNNNNNNNNNNNNNNNNNNNNGAGAGAGAGAGAGGUUUAAGAGAGAGAAGAGGACAUACUUGUAAUUUUAUCAAAAAUCAUUAGAAUGGGCUAAGAGAAAAGAUUUACAUUGAAGUGGGUAUUAAAAUCCCUGUUUUUGUGCAUUUGGGCAUUUUCCCUAAAAUUAACCCACACUACCAGUACAAGCACUUUAGCCGACGAAAAAUUUUCGUCGGCCUGUUAGCUUAAUUCGUCGGUUAAGAUCUUAACCGACGAAAGCUCGUCGGCUAAGAUUUCGUCGGGAAAAGGUCGUCUGUGGUGACUUUAGCCGACGACACAUAAAGAAGUCGUCAGCUAUAGUCGCAGAGUUUAGCCGACGAAAAACAUGUCGUCGGUUAUCUUCCCAGACUUUAGCCGACGAAACAUUUAAUAUAUUCGUCGGCUAUAGUCCUAGAGUUUAGCCGACGAAAAAAAAUGUCAUCGGUUUUUUCUCAGACUUUAGCCGACGAAACAUUUAAUAUAUUUGUCGGCUAAAGUGUGUAAUAAAAAAAAUUAAAAAUAACUAAAGCCGACGAAAUAUUGUCUAUUUCGUCAGCUUUAUAGGGGUUUAGCCGACGAAUUAAAGCGUAAUUCGUCGGCUAAAAUUUAUUUUAAAAAAAUAAAAAUACUAUAGCCGACGAAUUAAGGUAUUUUUCGUCGGCUAUAAGUCCAUUCCAGUGGAAAAAAAAACCCCGAAAAUUCUAAAUUACCAUUCCAAGCAAGCUGCAAAAUACACCAAAACAAUUCCAUAUAACCAACAACAAGCACAUAAAACUAUAUAAUUCAUCAACUACACAAAAUCUAAAUCGUCUAAAUUAAUAUCCGCUUCUGGGGGCUGCUGCGAGGUUGCGGCGGCUGGGGUAGCGGUAUAGCCGUAGACAUGGGUGGAGCCGGAAGUCCCUGAAGCUGGGCAGUUGUAAAGUCCUGCAUGUACUGGAACAUCUGCUGCUGAUGGGCCUGCUUGAUGGCAUGUAUCUCGGCAACAUAGGCUGCCUGCGCGGCAUUAUAGGCAGCCUGAGUAGCUUGCUGUUCCCGUAGUCUCUGAACUUCCGACUCUAGCUGACUCGUCCUGGUGGUCGUGGACGUGGUCCUGCUGCUGGUCGAGGCUGCCUUUUGUUGAAAUCCUGGAGUGGUCUUCAGGACCCCCUCGCCCUUCUUUCCUAGACCCCGGCAGUAGAAGUUGUUUGUUCUCGGUGGGAAGGCUGUGCCCAUGAUCCUCGCCCCAAUCGUCGGAUCCGAAGUGUCGAUCCGGGACAUGGCUUCGGACAUCUCUUCCUCUUGCGUGUCCGGCCAUGUCUCCCUCACUAUAACACUCAUCACCUCGUCACUAGCCUCCCUCACCUUCGCCUAUAUGGAUAGGAAAAAAAUUAUUAAUUAACAUUUUGACAUAUAUAUAAGUAAAUUUAAAAAUUUAAAAACGUAAAAUGACUUACAAUAUCCUCCUGGGCGUCAGGAUAUGCUUUCUCGUACGUAUAGACGUACCGGUUGACUUCUGGAUGUUCACUGGCCGCCUCGUCCAUGAAGACAGCGAAUGGUCUAGAACCGCCAUGAUGGUUCCUUGUGUUGCGUUGCCGGUUCUGAGAAUUCGCUCUGGAAACGGCCUUCAAAGAAAAAAAUAAAUUAUUAGUAAAAUAUUUAAAAACGGACGUACUUAAUAACAAAUUAACUAAUUAAUUUUUUUAAAUACCUGUUUACGAGGGUUGUUGAAUUCUGAUGUCAGAAGCCAACGCCACUUGUACUCCCUGUACUGGAACUCAGCAGGGGUACCAGAACGUGUGUUCCCGUGCGUAGUCCAGUGGGUCCGCCACUCGUUCUUCCACUCUUGUACCUACAGAUACAACAAAAAUAUUAGAAAUAUUAUUAAUAUCACAUACAAUUUUGUUUUUCAUUAACUUCCCAACGUACAUUCCUCCAUGCACAACGUCCGCCCAGCUGUCCUUCAGGUGCUCGAGAACCUCAAACCACACCUGCAUUUAACCGUUUGUUGGUUUAGUUUUUCGAGAAAUCAACAAUGUAAUACAUAAUAUUAUUUUGUAAACUCACCGACAUCACGUUGUGAACCAUGUCCUUAACCUUCUGCGGGACCUCGCCCCAGUCUGACCACAACAUAGGGACUCUAUCCCUAAUGAGCGUUCCCACGCGGCCGGAGUACGUCCUCGACUUCCUGCCCGAUACUAUGUGGCCAUCCCCGUCAGUAUUGAUGACGAUCCUCCCCACGGUACCCACGAUCUUCUCGAGAGCCUUCCCUGUGACGGGGCCUCUCUUCUUUUUUGUCGGCUUCGCUCCGACGGUGCCUAUCACAUGAUAAACAAAAUUGAUUAUUAAAAUCGGAGACCCUUUAUUAUUAAUUAUAAGAAAACAAAUCAUUCAUCACUGAUUACCUGAGGCGCUCGCGGCGGACGCGAUGGAUUCCAUCUCUGUCGCCGAUGAUGAUACCCUCGCAGAAAUAAGAGGCGUAUCAAAAGGCACGAACCGGUACGCCGUUGAUGGAGCCACUGGCGGGGGCAGUGGAUAAAUCGGUGUCCCUGAGCCAUCGACUACAGGUAAGGCCGGUAUCAUCUGCGGAAGGAACAGAGAGGCGGCGGCGGCAUUUGUACCCUAGAUGACCCACUAUCCGAAGAAGUAGGACCCGGAGUCGGCGCCCGAUGUAUCUCAGGCAUACCGGGUGCAGACACCUCCGUCUGGGUCUGAGGCCACAGCUGCCUCGAGGAACGAGGGACGCCCGCCUGCCUCGAUGAAAGGGGCACCACCGGCUGCCUCUGCGCCGUCUCCAGAAGGCUCGCACGUCUGGCUGUCAUCUGGCCCUGAGACGACGUUUGAGGGUUGCUAGAGGUUCCCUCAGACGAUUCGGACCUUUGGCCCUUCGAACUCUUCUUCGAUCUAAAAUAGCCGCUCAUCCUAUUUAAAAUAUUAAUUUGAAUCAAGGCUGAGGCAUGGGCGGAUACACUCAUUCAAUGUUGCUCGUUAAUUCAAGGCUGAGGCAACAUUAAAAAGUAAAAAUUCAAUCUUAUCCUUCUCAAAUCUAAGGCUACCAUUUUGUCUUUAUUCUAUAAAAA